GGGCGGUGCCCCAGGGGCGGAUAGGGGGCGGUGCCCCAGGCCUUCAGCCGGCCCUCGGUGCCCCGAGCUCGCCCUCCGGCCUCCAGCUGGAGAACGGAACCCUGCCUGUUGCUUUGUCUUCUUCUCCGACAGUUUUCCUACCCUGAGGAAAGUGAGAGGCGCUUUCGAUGGUGUUUCCUCUGUGGAAGAGCCGCGUGAAGGAACUGCGAGUUGGGCGCCGUGUGUCUCGGGCCCGAGAAGAGCUGAGGGCCGCGCGCCGGCCAAGACAGCGCUUAGCACCCCCACCCCCAUCUCCAACGCCCGCACCCCCCCCCCCCCAGCGUCCGGGGCGGCGGGGUCGCCGGGCAGAGGCCUCUCAGGUCGUGUGCAGCAGAGAGGCAGAGCCUGGAAGGAAAGGCGCCCUCCUCUGGCGAAGGGAGAGGAAGAUCUAAAAACCACGGUGUGUAAGGUCUUGCAAGCAAGAGGUGCUUCACCUGUACCUUCAACUCUUGCCAGGUCUACCUGGAGGUAGAAGUCCACGUGGCCAGCUGCAUGGUGCUUACGAGUAGAAAUGACCUAUGGAAAUUACUAAUGGUAUGGGUGUUCAAAUUGUAAAAGUAACCUGGCAUUUCUCCAAGAAGAAAGCAUAACAUAGUAACAGGCUGCUCCACAGUGAGUAAUGAGAGGAAUGAUCACAAUGAAGAUGAUCCCAGGGGCCGCCAGACUGUUGAACAAGAGUCAAGAGAGUCUUCGCUCACUCAUCGUCUAACCAUGGGAUGGAAGUUUCUUGUCCUUGCGCCCUCGUUUCCUUUUUUAUGAAUGGGAAAGAUUGGCCUUCCCUCUUGAAAAACUGCAGCAUUUGGGGAUUUAAAGAACUUUCAAUUAAAAACAUUCUUGGGGCACCUGGGUGGCUCAGUCAGUUAAGUAUCUGACUUCGGCUCAAGUCAUGAUCUCACGGCUGGUGAGUUCAAGACCCACAUCGUGCUCUAUGUUGACACCUCAGAGUCUGGAGCCUGUUUAUGAUUCUGUGUCUCCCUCUCUCUCUGUCCCACCCCUGCUUGCCCUCUGUCUCUGUCUCUCAAAAUGAAUAACGUUAAAAAAAAUUUUUUUUAAACAUUCUUUAUUUUCAUGAUCCUCAGUCUUUCUAGCAAGUCUUUAGUGACAAUGACAAAUCCCUGAAAGCUCAAUGCUCUGAAUUGUAACCCCAAGAAACUUAGAGCAGACAGCAAUCUCCAGAGGGUAAAGACCACACCUUAUUUAUUUAUUUAUUUAUUUAUUCAUUCAUUCAUUCAUUCAUUCACUUUUUCUCUCGGCCUAUUGCCUAGCACAGAGGAGGUGCUCAACAAAUGUUCACUGAAUGCAUAAAUGAAUGAAACAAUUCUCUCUCCUUGUUUUGAGAAAGAGUAACAUGUUGUUUAAGAAUUCCUUUGAUUUCAGUGACUACAGAGAGUAUUGUUGGUAAGCACUAUCAACAAAAUAGGUAGGAGGACUUUGAAUAGAACUCUUAUCACAAAAUACAUGCAUUAUGAACUCUUACAUAUGAAAAUUUCUGUAAAUUUGUUUCUGAAAGAAGAGAGAUCUAUCAGUUUUCUAUUUCCCAGUAAAGAUUCUCAUUCUAGACACAACUGCUGAAUUACUUGCAAGAGAUGACAAGUUCCUGAGGCUGAAUUCUGGCAGAGUGGCUCUUUUUGAGUCAUUUCACCUCUAAGAUCUAUGAGAGCAGCUAUUUUGGUCUAUUGAUUUAUAUAAAUCCAGUCAGAAAUCCUGGAGAAAAGAAUCUUUUCCCUUCAGUAUCAGCUUUAUUAAGGUACAAUUUACAUACCGUAAAGCUCACCAAUUUUAAGUGUUAUGAUACUGUGAUUUAUAAGAAAUAUGUAUUUGAUCUUUGUCCUCUUUCCUGGCACAGAGGCUCCUAAGACCUUCAGAAUUUCCCAAGUGCCAGAGCAUUAAAAUGUUUUUUGUUUUGUUAAUGAGGCCGGCAGAGGGGCUGAAGGUUGAAUUGUUGCCCAGAACCAAUGAUUUAAUCAAUAGUAUCCAUGUAAUGGAGCCUCCAUAAAAACCAAAAAGCAACACAGGUUCAGAGUUUCCAGGUUGGUGAACACUUAGAGAUUCUGAGAGAAGUGGCUCACUCAGGACAUGGAGGCUUCAUGCCCUUUCCUCAUACUUUGCCCUUUGCAUCUCUUCCAUCUAGCUGUUACUGAGUUACAUCUUUUAAUAAUAAACUGGUAAUCUAGUUAGUAAACUGUUUCUCCAAGUUAUGUUCUAGCAAAUUAAUUGAACCUGAGGAGGAGGCCAUGGCAACCUUCAGUCUAUAGUAGGUUGUUCAGAAGCCGAAGUGGCAACCUGAACUUGUGAUUUCUGAAGGGGAGAGGAGAGUCUUGCCAUUAGUCCCUUUAAGGACUGAGCCCUUAACAUGUGGGAUCUGAUGCUGUCUCCAGGUAAAUAGGGUCACAACUCAGUUGAAUUGUAGAAUACCCAACUGGUGUGGGAGAAUUGCUUGGUGGUACAGGGGGAAAACACACACAUGUUGGAACUGGUGAUCAGAAUUGUUAAGUAUACAAUUCAGUGAGCUCUGGCAAAUGUAUACAGUUGUGUAAAUCACUAAUAAAAUCAAGAUAUUUUUCCCCUCCCUCCCCCAAAAAAGUUCCAUGCUCCUUUGUAGUUAAUCCCUCCCUCCAAACCCUGGAUCCUAGCAGCUACUGACCUGCUUUUCUGUUUUGCCCUUCUAGAAUUCCAUAUAAAUGGAAUCAUACAAUAUGAAAUUUUUGUUAUCUGUCUUCUUUCACAUAGCAUAAUGCUUUUAAGAUUCAUGUAUGUUUUUCUUUUUUUAUUUUUUAAGUAGGCUCCAUGACCAGCAUGUGGCUUGAACUCAGGACCCUGAGAUCAAGAGUCACAUGCUCUACCAACUGAGCCAGCCAGGCACCCCCCAUGCAUGUUUUUAUAUGAACGUGUAAUUUAUUCCUCUUUAUUGUUCAGUAGUGUUCCAUUGCAUGGAUACAUAAUUUGUUUCUCUACAAGUUGAUGGACACUCUAGUUUUUGGCUAUUAUAAGGAAAAUGUAUGAAUAUAUAUGUUCAAGGGUUUUUUUGUGUGUGUAUGUAUAUUCUUGGAUAAACACCCAGAUGUGGGAUCUUUGCUCAUAUGGUUUAUGUAUUUUUAACCUUAUUUUUUCAAAAAUUCAUGAAAUAGUUUUCCAAAUUGGCCAUAUUAUUUUGCAUUUCCAUCUGCAAGGUAUGAGAGACCCAGUAUUCUACAUUCUUGCCAACAUGUUGCCAACAUAUUGUCAAUUUUUUUUUAAUUUUGGCUUUUUGUGUGCAUAGUGGUAUAUAACUAUAGUUCGACUGGGAAUUGUUAAUGAUGAAUGGUAUGGAGCAUCCUUUUAUGUGCUUAUUUCCAAUUUCUAUGUCUUCUUUCAGAAGUGGCUGUUUAAAAACGUUUGCCCAUUUUUUAAAAUAGAUUCUUUUUGUCUUCUAAUUAUUGAAUUGUAAGAAUUAUUUUAUAUCCUGGAUACAAGUUCUGUAUCAGAUAUGUAUUCUGUAAAUAUUUUCUCCCCAUAUUUGUCUUACCUUUUCAAUUUCUUAAGUUUCUUUGAAGAACAGAAGUUUUUAAUUUAAAUGAAGUCUACUCUACCACUUUUUUUCUCU
Acinonyx jubatus (cheetah) is the source of this 3622-nucleotide long non-coding RNA. RefSeq lists it as uncharacterized. NCBI's taxonomy places the organism in Eukaryota, Metazoa, Chordata, Mammalia, Carnivora, Felidae. The record is from RefSeq and is a predicted model, not a curated record. The transcript is spliced from 3 exons.